This 496-nucleotide ribosomal RNA is filed under the name uncultured bacterium. RNAcentral describes it as "partial 16S ribosomal RNA". It matches the Rfam family "Bacterial small subunit ribosomal RNA", at positions 29 to 507 of the family's 1533-position model. The record is from RNAcentral.
AUGAACGCUGGCGGCGUGCCUAAUACAUGCAAGUCGAGCGAACGGACGAGAAGCUUGCUUCUCUGAUGUUAGCGGCGGACGGGUGAGUAACACGUGGAUAACCUACCUAUAAGACUGGGAUAACUUCGGGAAACCGUAGCUAAUACCGGAUAAUAUUUUGAACCGCAUGGUUCAAAAGUGAAAGACGGUCUUGCUGUCACUUAUAGAUGGAUCCGCGCUGCAUUAACUAGUUGGUAAGGUAACGGCUUACCAAGGCAACGAUGCAUAGCCGACCUGAGAGGGUGAUCGGCCACACUGGAACUGAGACACGGUCCAGACUCCUACGGGAGGCAGCAGUAGGGAAUCUUCCGCAAUGGGCGAAAGCCUGACGGAGCAACGCCGCGUGAGUGACGAAGGUCUUCGGAUCGUAAAACUCUGUUAUUAGGGAAGAACAUAUGUGUAAGUAACUGUGCACAUCUUGACGGUACCUAAUCAGAAAGCCACGGCUAACUACGUG